AUUGAACGCUGGCGGCAUGCCUUACACAUGCAAGUCGAACGGCAGCAUGGGUGCUUGCACCUGAUGGCGAGUGGCGAACGGGUGAGUAAAGCAUCGGAACGUACCCGGAAGUGGGGGAUAACGUAGCGAAAGUUACGCUAAUACCGCAUAUUCUGUGAGCAGGAAAGCAGGGGCUCGUAAGACCUUGCGCUUUCGGAGCGGCCGAUGUCGGAUUAGCUAGUUGGUGAGGUAAAGGCUCACCAAGGCGACGAUCCGUAGCGGGUCUGAGAGGAUGAUCCGCCACACUGGGACUGGGACACGGCCCAGACUCCUACGGGAGGCAGCAGUGGGGAAUUUUGGACAAUGGGCGGAAGCCUGAUCCAGCCAUGCCGCGUGAGUGAAGAAGGCCUUCGGGUUGUAAAGCUCUUUUGUCAGGGAAGAAAUAGCUUGGGUUAAUACCCUGGGCGGAUGACGGUACCUGAAGAAUAAGCACCGGCUAACUACGUGCCAGCAGCCGCCGUAA
This 502-nucleotide ribosomal RNA is filed under the name uncultured bacterium. RNAcentral's name for it is "partial 16S ribosomal RNA". It matches the Rfam family "Bacterial small subunit ribosomal RNA", at positions 30 to 523 of the family's 1533-position model. The record is from RNAcentral.